RNAcentral lists this ribosomal RNA (434 nucleotides) under uncultured bacterium. RNAcentral describes it as "bacterial SSU rRNA". It matches the Rfam family "Bacterial small subunit ribosomal RNA", at positions 29 to 508 of the family's 1533-position model. The record is from RNAcentral.
AACGAACGCUGGCGGCAUGCCUAACACAUGCAAGUCGAACGAGACCUUCGGGUCUAGUGGCGCACGGGUGCGUAACGCGUGGGAAUCUGCCCUUGGGUUCGGAAUAACAGUUAGAAAUGACUGCUAAUACCGGAUGAUGUCUUCGGACCAAAGAUUUAUCGCCCAGGGAUGAGCCCGCGUAGGAUUAGCUAGUUGGUGAGGUAAAGGCUCACCAAGGCGACGAUCCUUAGCUGGUCUGAGAGGAUGAUCAGCCACACUGGGACUGAGACACGGCCCAGACUCCUACGGGAGGCAGCAGUGGGGAAUAUUGGACAAUGGGCGAAAGCCUGAUCCAGCAAUGCCGCGUGAGUGAUGAAGGCCUUAGGGUUGUAAAGCUCUUUUGCCAGGGAUGAUAAUGACAGUACCUGGAGAAUAAGCUCCGGCUAACUCCGUGC